CCUAGCACUUCGUACUAGGCUGUGUUAUGCCGUACCUCCGGUACU
Molecule: small RNA, 45 nt
Filed under: Lentisphaera araneosa HTCC2155
Lineage: Bacteria; Pseudomonadati; Lentisphaerota; Lentisphaeria; Lentisphaerales; Lentisphaeraceae
Description: Acido-Lenti-1 RNA
Rfam family: Acido-Lenti-1 RNA
Source: Rfam by way of RNAcentral